CAGUCGCCGCGGUAAGACAGAGGAUGCAAGCGUUAUCCGGAAUGAUUGGGCGUAAAGCGCGCGCAGGCGGAUAGGUCAGUCUGUCUUAAAAGUUCGGGGCUUAACCCCGUGAUGGGAUGGAAACUGCCAAUCUAGAGUAUCGGAGAGGAAAGUGGAAUUCCUAGUGUAGCGGUGAAAUGCGUAGAUAUUAGGAAGAACACCAGUGGCGAAGGCGACUUUCUGGACGAAAACUGACGCUGAGGCGCGAAAGCCAGGGGAGCGAACGGGAUUAGAUACCCCCGUAGUCCCUGUCUCUUAUACA
RNAcentral lists this ribosomal RNA (301 nucleotides) under uncultured bacterium. Its description in RNAcentral is "partial 16S ribosomal RNA". It matches the Rfam family "Bacterial small subunit ribosomal RNA", at positions 509 to 809 of the family's 1533-position model. The record is from RNAcentral.